Molecule: ribosomal RNA, 253 nt
Filed under: uncultured bacterium
Lineage: Bacteria
Description: partial 16S ribosomal RNA
Rfam family: Bacterial small subunit ribosomal RNA
Source: RNAcentral
UACGGGGGGGGUAAGCGUUGUUCGGAAUCAUUGGGCGUAAAGGGCGCGUAGGUGGUUCUGUAUGUCUGCCGUGAAAGGGUACAGCUCAACUGUAGCUUGUCGGCAGAAACUGCAGGACUUGAGGCUGGGAGGGGCUGGUGGAAUUCCCUGUGUAGCGGUGAAAUGCGUAGAGAUGGGGGAGAACACUCGUGGCGAAGGCGGCCAGCUAGACCAGUUCUGACACUGAGGCGCGACAGCGUGGGGAGCAAACAGG